CAUUACAGAUAACCUCCUAAUGAAGUUAUAGAGCCUUAGUAAUAUUGGGCAAGUUAUUUAUACUGUGAAAACCACUGAAAGAUAACUAUUCUCAACUAACACCAGAAGAUAGUGAUAGGAUUUAUUUUCAGAAUCUUAAAAAGAUAUACAAUUUCAGCAGGACGCACCUAUAGAGACACUAAGGAGGUCGCAGAUGGACUGGGAGCAUCUGACCAGUGUUAGAGAGAACAGAGCCAAAGGCAUUAUCCAGAGAAUUCUGCACGGCGGUUGCCUGAAGGCUGCUGCCUUCUUUGCUCACCCUGGAACUUCAGUCUGGUUCUGGCCCAGGCCCAAGAGCUCAGUUUCAGAUCACAGCGGGCUUAGGAGCACAGUGCACACUGGAACAUCUAA
Molecule: long non-coding RNA, 390 nt
Filed under: Bos taurus (domestic cattle)
Lineage: Eukaryota; Metazoa; Chordata; Mammalia; Artiodactyla; Bovidae
Description: long non-coding RNA NONBTAT025269
Source: RNAcentral